UACGGAGGAUCCAAGCGUUAUCCGGAAUCAUUGGGUUUAAAGGGUCCGUAGGCGGCCUUAUAAGUCAGUGGUGAAAUCUCUCCGCUCAACGGGGAAACUGCCAUUGAUACUGUAAGGCUUGAAUUAUUGUGAAGUAACUAGAAUAUGUAGUGUAGCGGUGAAAUGCUUAGAGAUUACAUGGAAUACCGAUUGCGAAGGCAGGUUACUAACAAUUGAUUGACGCUGAUGGACGAAAGCGUGGGGAGCGAACAGG
Molecule: ribosomal RNA, 253 nt
Filed under: uncultured bacterium
Lineage: Bacteria
Description: partial 16S ribosomal RNA
Rfam family: Bacterial small subunit ribosomal RNA
Source: RNAcentral